Long non-coding RNA from Oncorhynchus tshawytscha (Chinook salmon), 1531 nucleotides. RefSeq lists it as uncharacterized. NCBI's taxonomy places the organism in Eukaryota, Metazoa, Chordata, Actinopteri, Salmoniformes, Salmonidae. The record is from RefSeq and is a predicted model, not a curated record. The transcript has 2 exons.
ACAACCUCCCGAGGGCAAGCCGGUAGCAGUAACAGCAGCAUCACAGUUCUCCCGUUUCAGCGUGUCCCGCUCCCGCUUCUCCAUCACACACGUCCCCAAUCCAGACAUGAACUCUGGAGGGAGCAGUGAAGAUGGAGAGAGGCAGUGAAAGAAGGAUUGAAGGGGUCUUCUCCAUGACAGGAAGGAGUAUACCUCCUCUCCUAGUAUGACUACCAGGUGUUCAGACCUGGGAUCUCAAGGACCUGAUGACCCUGUAUGAGCCAAUGCCUUGUAUCGUAGUGACUCAACAUCUACAUUCCAAAUGACAGCCUAUUCCCUAUGUGCCCUGGUCAACAAUAGUGGAAAACAUAGGGAACAGGGUGCCAUUUCGGAUGCAGACAAACACCUUAAUGGUUCCUUCUCUUACUUUGUAUUAUUACUCCAGAGAGAGACAGAGAGAUAGCUGUAGGAACGAUGACAGAGUCCUGAGAGGACCACAACCAAGCAGUAUGUGACUGAUAAUAUAGAUGUAUUAGAGAUAUAUAACAUCUACACUUAUGACAAUUAUUAAUAACGUAUUUGCUCAAAUCACCAUUGACGUUCAGUAGCGUCAAGUCAUUUGGUGAAAAGGAAAAAGAGACAAAAAAUGAAAAAAUGACAAGACUUGGUCUCAUUGCUGCUCUCUCAUUGGCUGCUUUGGUCCUCCAUCUGCUUGCUCAUCGGCUGGUUGGAUCUUCUAGAACAGUGUUACAGUGCUUCCCUGGAGCCAUUGAAUAACGGCUGAUGACCGCCCCACAGGAAGCUGCUCUCUGUGGGGGUUCAAAGAUGAAGACAACCCCCCUUUACAAAUGACAGAGGAAUAGGGGUGGGGGUACUGCGAAACCUACUGUGCUCCCUUGACAAAGCCACAGGAAGGUGGACGGUCUUGCUGAUGUUUUAGUUCAGGGAUAAAAAAAUGUAUCAUUAUGAUGUUAUACCAUAGCAUUGAAUAUGUGUUUCUGAUUGGCUUGAAGGGCAUUCUAGAGCGUGCAUUAUUUCCGUAUAACUCACGGUAUAUUUGCACGAUAGAAAGGUGCGUUCUUACAUGUUAUAUGUUUGAGUUGCUUUUGAAAGCAAAAGUUCAAUUGAAAACAUUAUUGGCAUGUUUGAAUUCGAUUUUCAUAAUGGCGAACUAGUACUGAUGGUUUAGUUCGCUAAACUAGCGAGUCAGUUUGUUCGGUUACCAAGGCAACCACUGUCGCUGUCUAGUAAACUUGCUAGCUACCUUCAGUGGAUGUUAAACACAUUUCUACUGGCCAAUUAACACAUUUCUAGCAGCAAAUGUGUUCAAUUAUAGCCCUGGUAUAAAAGGGAUAAUCAACUUGGGGCUCUAUGCAUACUGGAAAAGUGGAAAGUCAGCUGGAACACACCUUCCACAUCGUUCAUUAUUUUCCAUAGAACCCAUAGCCUCUGGUUGAUUAUCCCUUACAUAACAGAUCAUAAGAGCCAGAGCCCUGUUGAAAUCUAUGUAUGUUAUAAUAUAUAUGGCUCUGCUUACAACUUGGUAACACUG